ACUCCCAAUAAAUAACAAGAUGAGACAAGUUAGGCUGCUGAGAGGCUGGCUUGCACUGGAGGUUCUCUUGGAGCCAUGAAUCACCUCUGAACCAGCAAGCCAGAAAGGUACCGAAACUGGGAACCGAUGUUCCUCUGGAACCAGCAUGAAAACUCCACAAAAUCCCUAGUUUGUCUCCACAGUGUUCUUAUUCCAAGUGUGCUGAGAGAAAAGGCCAGACAUGGAUACCUUAAUUUUGUAAAACAGAAAGAUAUCUCUGUUCAGCGUGUUGGUGUAACUGAGAUAAAUGCCAAGCUGGCUCCCUGCUGUGCGUGGUCCGACACCCCUUGGCCAUAGAGAUUCCAGCUAUUUAAGUUUGGAAAUGACAUUUCUUCACACGUCUUCCAAGAUAGCAAUGUAUGUCAAUCACCGGGAGCUCUGCCAAUGACAAUGCCAAUGGAUUUGAAUUUCCCAUUCAUGCUAGGGUGAAGGGGCUAUCUCUUUGACUUCUCCGACUGGGGCCUUUCAUCUCACCCAGGAAAGUUUAUUUCCCAAGGAAUUUUCUUUGUGGUCUCAAACUUGAAUGACCUUCCUUUUAUAACCUCUGAUAUCACCCAGGGUUUUAUUGCCAGGAAGUACCUCUUAGUUGACAUGCUUAAUACUGGGUUCCUGUGAUCUAUUCUAGGGAACCCCGAAACUUAGAGAGAAAACUGAGGAAAAUGAUCUGGUUUCCAGGUUUGGGAAUACCACUGAACCACUGACCCUUAAGGAUACAUGGAAAAAUAACCUGUAACAUUCAAAUUCUACAAAAUACAUUGUGUUCAUACAA
Molecule: long non-coding RNA, 808 nt
Filed under: Mus musculus (house mouse)
Lineage: Eukaryota; Metazoa; Chordata; Mammalia; Rodentia; Muridae
Description: predicted gene 28175
Source: RNAcentral